This is a non-coding RNA of Pelobates cultripes (western spadefoot toad), 910 nucleotides long. NCBI's taxonomy places the organism in Eukaryota, Metazoa, Chordata, Amphibia, Anura, Pelobatidae. The record is from the annotation of a GenBank genome assembly.
UUAGCUCUCAUCUGAAAUACUAUAGACAAACAACAACAAAAUUGCUGAUCCCAGUAAACUUAUUUUGCAGACUUUCAUGUAUAAGGAGACUUCUUAACAUGUUCCAUUUUAAAAUUGUAUCAAAAAUCACAUCUUAAAGUUUCUUAGCCUAUGCAUCCUGUAGUAAACCUAUGGAGCACUGUGUUCAUAGCAGUCACAUAUUGCCUUACAUACCUCAUUGUGGUACUGUAAACCCUCUGCUGUAGGACGUUACCAAAUAACAGCAUUAUCUUUACAUCUUAGAGCAGUUCUGUGGUAUAAUUGGUUAAGUUUAACUUGUAAAUGUUUAAAUGUGUCCUUCGUUCACAGAGAACAUCUUAAUACUUAAAAUAGAUUAAAUACAAUGCCACUUUUAAAUGCCAGAGAUAUUUCCUUAAAUGUACAUCCACAGAUGAUGAAUAGGGAUGUUGUAAUAGUUUAUAUGUUGUUGACUAGGUAACAGGCCCAGCCUGUUCUCGGUACAGUCAUUUGCACAGACGAUAUAUCCCAGUUUACAGAUCCAUUAGAACAGACCUUUGACGUACACCAGAAAAAGACUUUCUCACCAGCAGAACCACCACAGCCACAACAGUGCCACCUAGAACCAGCCCAACAACCAGCGCGGUGUAAUUUGUAGCAGCUACUGCAAAGAAAUAAAGAAGACCAUGGGACAGGAUGUUUUGAACGCAGAGUCAAUGACCAUAAAAUGGCAUAAAAGGCACAUUAAGGUCUUUGCAAGCCACUAAGAGCAUUAGGUUUCAAAUUAUCCUUUGAGAUAAAAAAUGGACCAGGGUAUUUUAUUUGAACAUAGCAUCUUAAUGCCUAAUUGUUGUACCCAUAGAAACCAAUAAACUGAAAAAGGUAUCUGUUUUUAAGGACUCCUCUGCCCCUG